UUUUGUGGGGUGACGGCGUGCCUAUCGAAAAAUGAGUCUGCGAGUCAGUGGCAUGUGGCGAGCAUAACCCGUGUGGGGUAUGCGUAGCGAAGGCGAGUCUUAAAAGGCGUUUAAAGUCGCGUGUCCUGGACCCGAAGCGGGAUGAUCUAGCCCUGAGCAGGUUGAAGCGCGGGUAAGACCGCGUGGAGGACCGAACCCACCUGGGUUGAAAACCGGGGGGAUGACUUGGGGCUAGGGGUGAAAGGCCAAUCAAAUUCCGUGAUAGCUGGUUCUCUCCGAAAUGCAUUUGGGUGCAGCGUCGGGUCAUUACGUCCCGGGGGUAGAGCUACUGGAUGCUUGCGGGCCCGUAUCGGGUACCAACAGCAACCAAACUCCGAAUACCGGUGACGCGUAUCCCGGCAGUGAGUCGGCGGGGGAUAAGCUUCGUCGUCGAAAGGGAAACAGCCCAGACCGUCGUCUAAGGUCCCGAAGCGUGUGCUAAGUGGGAAAGGAUGUGGAGUCGCAUAGACAGCCAGGAGGUUGGCUCAGAAGCAGCCACCCUUGAAAGAGUGCGUAACAGCUCACUGGUCUAGUGGUUCCGCGCCGACAAUGUAGCGGGGCUCAAGCACACCACCGAAGACGCGGCAGUAUUUUGUACUGGGUAGGAGAGCGUCCCAUGAGGGGCGAAGCGGCCGUGUGAACGCGCCGUGGACUUCAUGGGAGUGAGAAUGCAGACAUGAGUAGCGAGAGACGGGUGAAGAUCCCGUCCGCUGGAUGACCAAGGGUUCCAGGGCCACGUUCAUCGUCCCUGGGUGAGUCGGGUCCUAAGGCGAGGCCGACAGGCGUAGUCGAAUGGAUGAACGGGUCGAUAUUCCCGUACCGGCUUUCAGCCGCCAAAACCGAGGCUUGGAGUACUAACCUCCGGGUCCGGGCUUACUGCUCCUUCGGGGGCGGGAUGCCUUGGCCUGUUGGGACCGAUCCUUGUAGUAGGUCAGCGCAGGAGUGACGCAGAAGGGUAGCCGGCCGCGGAGGUGGUCUUCCGUGGUCAAGCACGCAGGGCGUGGGACAGGCAAAUCCGUCCCGCAUGGGUCCGAGGUGCGAUGAUGGGGGCCUUAUGGCCCGAUAUCCGGUGAUCCCGGCUGCCGAGAAAAGCUUCGGCGUCAGGCUCAAAGCCGCCCGUACCCCAAACCGACACUGGUGGUCAGGUAGAGAAUACCAAAGCGAUCGAGCGAAUCCUGGUCAAGGAACUCGGCAAAUCACUCCCGUUCCUUCGGUUUAAGGGAGACCCCCGAUGGUGAACACACUUGCUGUGGGAGCUUUUGGGGGUGGCACAGACCAGGGGGUAGCGACUGUUUACCAAAAACACAGGUGCAUGCGAAGGCGCAAGCCGCUGUAUAUGCACUGACGCCUGCCCGGUGCCGGAAGGUUAAGAGGAUCCGUCAGCCUUCGGGUGAAGCGGUGAAUUCAAGCCCCGGUAAACGGCGGUGGUAACUAUAACCAUCCUAAGGUAGCGAAAUUCCUUGUCGGGUAAGUUCCGACCUGCACGAAUGGCGUAACGACUUCCCCACUGUCUCGACCAGGAGCUCGGCGAAAUUGCAGUACGAGUAAAGAUGCUCGUUAAGCGCAGAAGGACGAAAAGACCCCGGGACCUUUACUAUACCUUGGUAUUGGCAUUCGGUGUGGAUUGUGUAGCAUAGGCGGGAGGCCGAGAGGCGCGGUCGCCAGAUCGCGCGGAGCCGUAAGGUGAAAUACCGCUCUGUUCGCAUUGGAUGUCUAACCUCGAACAGUCAUCCUGUUCAGGGACAGUGCCUGGCGGGUAGUUUAACUGGGGCGGUUGCCUCCCAAAGAGUAACGGAGGCGCCCAAAGGUCCGCUCAGCCCGGUUGGCAAUCGGGUGGCGAGUGCAAGUGCACAAGCGGGCUUGACUGCGAGGACGACGGUCCGAGCAGGGACGAAAGUCGGGACUAGUGAUCCGGUGCCGGUGUACGGACGCGGCAUCGCUCAACGGAUAAAAGGUACCCCGGGGAUAACAGGCUGAUCAUUCCCAAGAGUCCAUAUCGACGGGAUGGUUUGGCACCUCGAUGUCGGCUCGUCGCAUCCUGGGGCUGGAGCAGGUCCCAAGGGUUCGGCUGUUCGCCGAUUAAAGCGGCACGCGAGCUGGGUUCAGAACGUCGUGAGACAGUUUGGUCUCUAUCCUCUGCGCUCGUUGGAAUGCUGAGGAGGCCUGCCCAUAGUACGAGAGGACCUGGGUGGACGAACCUCUGGUAUGCCGGUUGUCACGCCAGUGGCACGGCCGGUUGGCUACGUUCGGAAGGGAUAACCGCUGAAAGCAUCUAAGCGGGAAGCCUGCUCCAAGAUAAGCAUUCCGUGGAACCUUCGAGUUCCUGUAGUCCCCAUGCAGAACACGUGGUCGAUAGGCCGGACGUGGAAGCCCCGCGAGGGGUGGAGCCGACCGGUACUAACGGACGAAAGGCAACACUGA
Molecule: ribosomal RNA, 2460 nt
Filed under: uncultured bacterium
Lineage: Bacteria
Description: bacterial LSU rRNA
Rfam family: Bacterial large subunit ribosomal RNA
Source: RNAcentral